Molecule: long non-coding RNA, 1386 nt
Filed under: Mytilus galloprovincialis (Mediterranean mussel)
Lineage: Eukaryota; Metazoa; Mollusca; Bivalvia; Mytilida; Mytilidae
Source: RNAcentral
UUGCUCUGACCAUUACUGAAGAAUAAUUCACCUUCAAACUCUUUUUUUAAAGAUUCUUCUAAGUUGUCAGUAAAGUGUGUUUCUUGUAUUAGGAGAAUAUCACAUUUUUGUUGUUUUGUCCAUUCAAUUAGUCUUUUUCUUUUUUCAGCUUGCUGUAAUCCCUUAGCAUUAACUGUACAGAUGUGAAGGUUUUGAUCAGCCAUAAUUGUUAAUAUAAAAGGUAAGUUUAUGAUUGGGGAACCCCCAUCUAUUUAUAGUAUCAAUUAUCGAUUUUAUUCUUUCUGUUACCAGUUCACGAGUAUUUACUUUAUUCAACAGGUAAAUAAUUGUCGUCAAUUUUGCUGUACUUUUAGCAUUUAAUUCUUUAUACUUUAUACAAAGUGCAAAUUGUUUUACUGUAAGAAGUGAUCCUACAUAAAAACAUAUUAAAUAGUGAUAAAAUUUAAUCACAAUAAUUAGAUACACAGUAUCAUUAAUGUUUAUCUUUACCAUAUUAUGUAAAAGAAAAUUACACAAUGUUGUUCUCAAAUUGACAAAACAUACAGUUUCUACACAUGAUGACCUCGCCUUACGGGUCAUUAUUUGGGUCAACAACGUGACUUUGUUUACAAACUGAGCUAUGACAAACAUAUGCCACACACAGUUUGUGAAGACAAUAAUUGAGAAAUAAAUUUUACUCAAUACAAAAAUAAUAUAAAUACUACAAUAAUUCUUUAAAGAAAUAUAAAAAUAAAAACAUUUACAUGAAUAUAUUAUACAAAAGAUGUAUUUACAUAGUUUACAGUAGAUAAAGAUAAUGAGUUCUUUAUGUAAAUAUGUACAUUUUUUUUUAUCAGUACUAUAAGUGUUUCUUUUGUCAGGUCUUAUUCGUAAUGUUUUGUUAUUCUCAUUCUUCUUUGCUUUUAUUUUGCUAAAUUGUUUUUUAUAGCUAUUGAGUGCUAAAAGAUUUAUUAUUUUUUCCAGGAGAUAUAUGUAAUGGUUUGCAUUAUGAAGUGGAUUAUAUCUGUUUUCCAAUUUGGACUCAAAGUUUUGCACAUAAUCUAGACAUGAAGUAUCAGCAUACACAGAGCUAUAAGUGUGAAUCUGUAUGGGAACAUCUGUUGUCAAUUCACUUAUGAAUUUUUGUGUGCAAAAGUAUGUCUGUUGCAAAUUUGUGUACAGAGUUAACAAAAUAUAUGUGUGUUCAUUUUGUGAUAUAAGGAGAAGAAUUUUGAGGCACAUCUUGAUUAAUUGGAACUGUGAUGAGAAAAGUGCGAAAUUUAUAUAAAAUAUGCAAUUCACCAAAGAUAUAAAUUGUGAAACUAUACUAAAUUCAACUCUACUGUAAAUGAGUUUUGUAACACAUGUCAUCAUGAUUAUAAACAAAAUAAAUAUCACUAAACAUGC